Parus major (Great Tit) is the source of this 3105-nucleotide long non-coding RNA. RefSeq lists it as uncharacterized. NCBI's taxonomy places the organism in Eukaryota, Metazoa, Chordata, Aves, Passeriformes, Paridae. The transcript has 3 exons. The record is from RefSeq and is a predicted model, not a curated record.
AAGAAAUAAGUAAUUUCUUUAGUUACUGGUUUAAAACCACGACAAAGCCUAAGCUAAUUUCCUAGUCUACUUUGAAAUAGUUUGAUUUCUUAACAUGGGAGGCAAUGAAGGAGGCUUCAUUGCUUUAGUUUACACAAGCAAAACUUCCUCAGUCUUAGCUAGGGCUGUACUGAUGGCAAAAUGGGAUGGCAUUCUGGAGAAUAUACACUUUUUUUUUAGUGAUGUGUUCUUCUUCCAUCAAAGAGCACCAACCUCAGUGUCUAACAGUGUAAUAGCCUCACUAAAAUUAACCUUAGGUAUCUCUGUAAUUGCCCUUAAGUGAAGUUUAAACCUUGACUUUUAUACACUGCAUGCAGCUCCAUAUGCUGCUUUUAUUUAUUGCGAUUUGGUUUUGAUUGUAACUGGUUAUGAAACUGAGGUCAUCACAGCUGAGCAGUGACUAUUAAAACUAUUUCAUCCAAUUGCAUAGAUAAUUUGGGACCACACAAGAGGUAUUUUCCUCUUUAGUGAUCAUUGUUUGUAGGUUUUUCAAUCAACUUUGCUAUUUAUUUGAUAACAUAUUACUAAUGUGUCUAACUUUGAAUAUAAUUCACUGAAGUUCCAUGGUAAUCUUCCUGUUAGAAGUUCCUCUCUGAUCUUGACCAACAAAGUAACUUUGAGCCAUGUGCAGUUUUUUACUUCAUUGCUAAUUCUUUCUCCAGAACAUUAAUAAAAAUAAUGAACAGUGGAUAUAACACAGAAUCUCCAGACGCUCUGCUGCUAAUCUUUUGUAUGUUGCAGCAAAUUAUUUUUUGAUAAAAAUAGGUAAUUUAUUAUUUGUUUUCUGACAAAUGGAAACAUCUGGUAUGUUUCUCCUGAUUCUUACCUUGACUAACAUAUUCAUUUUAUUUUUUCCCCUUUUUCUGUAGAUACAGGAGAAAUUAUAUAACUGCUUGGUGGAUACCUGCUUGCCAGCCAAGGUCAAUCUACCCCACAAGGAAAGACGUCACCUGACGGACAUAAAAAACCUGGACGUGAAAUACGUGGCUUUCUGUGUGAGCUGCAGACUUUGCCCGACGAGCUCCAUGAAGGCUGCUUUUAUCAGUCCCUGCCAGUCACACACACCUGGUACAGGCCAUAUGCUGAUUUAAUCUACUGGGCUACAAUCAAACAAAAGAUAAAAGAUAAAAUACAAUGUUCAUUGUCAGAAAAAGGGGAUGAAUUUUUUUUGAACUACCAUUUGGAGAUCUUUAAAUGGAAAAAUUACUGUGUAUUAUUUUAAUUUCAGUUUUCUUUAAUCCUUAUGAUCCUCUCUCGUCUCCAUAUACUAGACAAGUAUGUAUACUCCAAGCCAUAUACUUAAGAGACAUAUGGGAAACACAUUUUGCAGGGAAAGUCUGAGCAAAGAAGGGAAAGGUAUUCCUCAAAGGAAAGAUGAAGGAAAAGGAUAAAAGCAAGUCAUGUUAGCACAUUGUUUUGUUUCUGCUCUUUUCACUGCCUUCUAAUGUUUCAUUUAUCAAAUAAUAUGUAGACUGAUACAGAAUGUUAGGGUCUUUGAUUUUUAUAGUCCACAAUGUUUAAAAUCUUGACAAUUAGAAAGCUUCACCUAAAGCUGAAGAAUGGCUUGAAGAAAUAACUUUACCUGAUUCCUGUUAUUGUCUCUUUUUUACAAAACAUUAGAAGUUCCUUUAUGCCAACACCCUUCAUUUUGUGUUCCUUAUUUAUUAUGCCUUUUGUUUAGAUAAUCAAAGAAUUAUUUUGGUCUUUUCAGAGAAGAGACAGUAAAUUGGAGAUUAUGUUCCUUGCAUACAGCACGUUACAUUUCCUUAAACUCAUACAUUUUUCAAGUUUCAUUUGUUUAUUUGCUUUUUUUCUAAUAUAUUAAGUACUCCUACAGGCACUAAAAAUAUUAAAAUGUAAUCAUCUAGCCAAAUGUAAACUUCUUUUUCUACAAUAUAUCCUUCCUAAGUUCCAUGCCACCACAAUCCACACAAAGUAACUUUCUACCAUUCCAUCAUAAAAUUAUGCAAUAAUUUAGAUUGGAAGAACCUCCUGAGGUCUCUAGUGCAACCUGUUGCUAAAAGCAGAGCUAAAAGAAAAGCUAACUUCAAAGCUAGAUCUUGUUCCGGAAAACAGAUUUCUAAGAAACUUGUAGAAUUUUAUGAAGCUCAAAAAUUUUUAUAAAUCUUAGAUUUCUGGAUAAGAUGUAAAUUUAUGUCUUUUAACCUGAAACUUCCACUACAUUCAGUUCAAAAAUAUCUGAGCUUUAGCUUACAAGUACUGCUAUCUAUAUAGUGGAUUGUGCUUGACCUGUGCUUUACAGCAAUGCUGGAUAAAACAAGUUCUUUAGAUACGGCACAACUGAGGGAAUUCCCAGGAUUGGAAUGGAGAGAAUUAAUUCCCCAAUUUUUAAAAAGCCAUACAUUAACUCCUUAAAUGCCAUUCAUGGAGUACUAAUUAACUGGAUAUAAUUGAAGUGCUUUAGUAAGUCUUGAGAAGAUUGUGAGAAAGAGUUGCUAGAUAAAUGAAUAUAGUAUUGAAAAUAAAACCUCACCUUUUUUGUCCAAAUUCUGAUUUUCAGUUCUAUUUGCCCUUGUUACCAAGACUUCUAACAGAAAAAAUACUACAUUUUGUAUGUUUUUCCUAUGUAAAGAAAAAUAAAAUGAUACUAUGAUGUAAAUUCUAUGUGAUGCUGCAACUGACAUUAUUUCAAACUCCCAUUUUGUAUUCUGUUUCAAAUUUAGUCUAUCUAAUCCAUAAAAACAUACUGUAUAAGUUCUCUUUUCUAUCCAUGUUUCUAAAUAAAACAAGUAAAUAAUCAAACUUUCACAUGUGCUGCUCACAAGUAAAGUCAGGGUCUGUUUUUUUCUUUAUUCUGAGCAAAUGUCUACGCAAAAUGAGAGGUUCAAGAUACUGCUGCAAUAGUACUACUAUUGAUUUCUGCAAAGCAGUGCACAAUCAUAAACAAUAGUUGCUCUAUUUUUUUACUUCUACAUUAUUUGGGUCCAAACAGCCCUCUUGAAAAUAUUGGGAGAUUUCAUGCCAUUUUGAAAAGCAGAGAGAUUUUCAGUUUUUAUUUGUUUUCUCAUGUAUGGUUUAUCCAUGUUAAAUUCUUUCAAUUUUAUU